This 73-nucleotide transfer RNA is filed under the name Streptomyces sp. ADI95-17. Its description in RNAcentral is "tRNA-Pro". The record is from RNAcentral. Lineage: Bacteria; Bacillati; Actinomycetota; Actinomycetes; Kitasatosporales; Streptomycetaceae.
AGCCACGCUGGCCCGGUUGCGGGCGGCGUAGGGCGGGGCUGCGAGUGGCGCGGCUCCGGGCUGCGCGUGGCUC